RNAcentral lists this ribosomal RNA (441 nucleotides) under uncultured bacterium. Its description in RNAcentral is "partial 16S ribosomal RNA". It matches the Rfam family "Bacterial small subunit ribosomal RNA", at positions 338 to 795 of the family's 1533-position model. The record is from RNAcentral.
UCUACGGGAGGCAGCAGUGGGGAAUAUUGGGCAAUGGAGGAAACUCUGACCCAGCAACUCCGCGUGAAGGAUGAAGGUUCUCGGAUUGUAAACUUCCGUCGCGAGGGAUGAAGAAUGACGGUACCUCGUAAGAAUGCCCCGGCCAACUACGUGCCAACAGCCGCGGUAAUUGGUAGGGGGCGAGCGUUGUCCGGAAUGACUGGGCGUAAAGGGAGUGUAGGGGGGUAAUUAAGUUAUGUGGGAAAGCCCGCGGCUCAACCGCGGAAUUGCACAUCAAACUGGUAGGCUGGAGUGCAGGAGAGGUAAGUGGAAUUCGCGGUGUAGCGGUGGAAUGCGUAGAUAUCGGGAGGAACACCAGAGGCGAAGGCGACUUACUGGACUGUAACUGACGCUGAGGCUCGAAAGCGUGGGGAGCAAACAGGAUUAGAUACCCUUGUAGUC